CCUACGGGUGGCAGCAGUGGGGAAUAUUGCACCAUGGAGGGAACUCUGAUGCAGCGACGCCGCGUGAGUGAAGCAGGAAUUCGUUAUGUAAAGCUCUAUUAGAAGGGAAGAAAGUGACGGUACCUGAAAAAGAAGCUCCGGCGAAAUACGUGCAAGCAGCCGAGGUAAUACGUAUGGAGCCAGCGUUAUCCGGAUUUACUGGGUGUAAAGGGAGAGUAGGUGGUAGAGCAAGUCCGUAGGGAAAACCCAAAGCUCAACUAUGGGAAUGCUAUAGAAACUGGUAAGCGAGAGUGCAGGAGAGGCAAGUGGAAUUCUUAGUGUAGCGGUGAAAGGCGGAGAUAUAAGGAGGAACACCAGUGGCGAAGGCGGCUU
Molecule: ribosomal RNA, 372 nt
Filed under: uncultured bacterium
Lineage: Bacteria
Description: partial 16S ribosomal RNA
Rfam family: Bacterial small subunit ribosomal RNA
Source: RNAcentral